CAUGAUUACCUUUUCAACAAACUGUGAACUAUAUUUUACUAUUCGUGUGUUGUUUUACUUUCGAGUAUUUCAAUCACACUGUCAUUCGAUGAACAUUAGAUAGCUGGCUCGUAUUGUAUUUUACAUUACCUUCUCAGCUGAUUGUUUGUAUUGACUAAACAUCUUACAACAAUCACCAUAAAAACAUAGAAA
This 192-nucleotide unclassified non-coding RNA is filed under the name uncultured fungus. Its description in RNAcentral is "sequence contains ITS1, 5.8S rRNA gene". The record is from RNAcentral. Lineage: Eukaryota; Fungi.